Long non-coding RNA from Astatotilapia calliptera (eastern happy), 2323 nucleotides. The record is from Ensembl. NCBI's taxonomy places the organism in Eukaryota, Metazoa, Chordata, Actinopteri, Cichliformes, Cichlidae.
GCUCCUGUACGGUGUACAUUUUAGGACAUCGUCAGGUAUCAGAAAAAAAAUUGUCAGGUGUCAGUUGUCAAAAAAAAAAUUGUCAGGUAUCAGAAAAAAAAUUGUCAGGUGUCAGUUGUCAAAAAAAAAAAAGUCAGGUAUCAGACAAAAAAUUGUCAGGUGUCAGAAAAAAAGUUGUCAGGUAUCAGAAAAAAAAUUGUCAGGUGUCAGAAAAAAAGUUGUCAGGUGUCAGAAAAAAAAUUGUCAGGUGUCAGAAAAAAAAUUGUCAGGUGUCAGAAAAAAAGUUGUCAGGUGUCAGAAAAAAAAUUGUCAGGUGUCAGAAAAAAAAUUGUCAGGUGUCAGAAAAAAAGUUGUCAGGUGUCAGAAAAAAAAUUGUCAGGUGUCAGAAAAAAAAUUGUCAGGUGUUAGAAAAAAAAUUGUCAGGUGUCAGAAAAAAAGUUGUCAGGUGUCAGAACACAAGGUACCAGAGAGAAAAUCUUCCUGCAGGUGGCGCUGUUGUCAUGUCCCACCCGAAUUGAUUUCCAAAUACGUCAUCAACGUGUGACCGUGGGAGAGCGUAAGGUCAUUGACCUCACCGGAGUUUUACCGUGGUUCAGGCUCCUAACGACACAAGGUAAGUUUAACUUUUUCUCCCUUUUGUUCAUAUUUUUGCCACAGUUGUGUUAUAUUAAGUUGCAGUUAUGUUGUGAAAGUUACAUAUCAGAGACGGAAAGCCAGUUUUGUACGAAACCAAAUCAGUACUAUUUUUGUCUGGCUAAUUCAUUCUAGCUAGCGACAGUGGUGAAACGUGAUUCAAAUUUAAACUGUUCAGUAAUUGUUUUGUAUACAUUUCAGCAAAUGGACAAGCUGAAAGCUUACGAGCAGCUUAAAAAAGACCUUGAAAAUGGUGAGAUUACCCAAAAAGGCUUUGAUAACAACAUAAAAAAGCUCCUGACAGCAGAAAAAUCAGAUGACACUACUUCAACACGUGGCAAUGAAUUUCUCAGUGCAGCAGAGGCCUUUGGUAAAGCCAAGAAACUACUACAGCCUCAAGUAAAGAAAAGGCAGUUUCCACUGAAUGAUAAACGUUUGGACCAUGCCAAAUCAUUAUUGAAGGUCAGACUGGCUCCCAUGGAGUGGAAGCCAAGAACUCAUAGAAAGUGUGGACGGUACCAGAAGUUAAUAAUGGACGAAGCUCCACCUCGAAUCAUUCUUCAAGGCCAUGAAACCUAUGAUGAUUUAAUUACCAUAGGCAAAGAACGCUUCUGGCCAGAGCGUACUGAGGGGAGUGAGUUCACUCUUUGCCAUUCUGACGGGACCAGGUGGAGUAAGCAGGAGUUCCACAAAGAAUACGGAACUGUUUCUGAUAUUACACAUAUGUGGAAAAGAACAAUAUACAUCGGGCGACGACAACUGGAGGUCGUGUGUUUGGAUGAUCAAAGUUCCAUCUCAGAUGAAGACCCUGUAACUAAAGUGGGUGGUGAUGAAAGUUGCAGUUUAGAUGAACUUCCUGAAACCCUCAUAGGACAAAGUGUUGCAGAACAGGAUUUCCAUGCAGAAACAUCCAGCUCAGCUGAAUUUGAAACAGGGAGAGUCAGAAAGAAAAGCCAGUCCAAGCAAAGGAAGGAGGAAAAUGUAGGGUCAUCUCUAGGUCCAGGUGGAGCAGUGAGCCAAGACAUGUUACCACAUGCAGUUAUUGAGUCAAAAGAAGCUAUGGAGGGAGCUGAAGAGCUAUCUGAAGGUGCUGGAAGUAGUGGGCUUUUGAUAGAUUUUGCACAGUCUUUCAACCCAACUCCAAAAUCGCCAUCAUUGUAUCUUCCACGUGUUCCAUAUGUGGAAGAGGCUUUAAUUACAUACAGUGAGGACAAUCUACUGGGAGAAGGAACAUUUGGCAAGGUAUAUAGAGGUUCUUUUCAUGGUACUCCAGCAGCUGUUAAAAGGAUCAUGUGUGGCCAACAAGGGAUGGAGGACAGCGACAUUCAUCAUGAGAUAAAUGUUUCACUGAGACUGUCUCACCCCAACAUCGUCAGACUCAUGGCAGUUGCCCGCACUGAGUCCUGCUUUUUGUUGGCAGCUGAAUACAUUCAUGGCGCAACCCUGCAGCAAGUGCUUCACACAGACAGCUGCUUGGUGAAGCUUGAAGGGGAUGAUGCCGGUUUCAUAUCACUGGACUUAUCCAUGGCAGUAGAGUACAUCCAUGCACAGAGAAUCAUUCACCAGGAUAUAAAGCCAGCAAAUGUCAUGGUUCACCACCCUUCUAAAAAGGCAGUCCUGACAGACUGGGGCAUGGCAAACAUAAGAGACACUGUGAUGCUUCGUCAAGGGAGUAAGUUCACUGCCCAGG